Molecule: transfer RNA, 68 nt
Filed under: Drosophila pseudoobscura
Lineage: Eukaryota; Metazoa; Arthropoda; Insecta; Diptera; Drosophilidae
Description: tRNA-Trp
Rfam family: tRNA
About the family: Transfer RNA (tRNA) molecules are approximately 80 nucleotides in length. Their secondary structure includes four short double-helical elements and three loops (D, anti-codon, and T loops). Further hydrogen bonds mediate the characteristic L-shaped molecular structure. tRNAs have two regions of fundamental functional importance: the anti-codon, which is responsible for specific mRNA codon recognition, and the 3' end, to which the tRNAs corresponding amino acid is attached (by aminoacyl-tRNA synthetases). tRNAs cope with the degeneracy of the genetic code in two manners: having more than one tRNA (with a specific anti-codon) for a particular amino acid; and 'wobble' base-pairing, i.e. permitting non-standard base-pairing at the 3rd anti-codon position.
Source: RNAcentral
UAAGGCUUUAAGUUAAAUAAACUAAUAGCCUUCAAAGCUGUAAAUAGGGGUAAUCCUUUAAGCCUUAG